Molecule: ribosomal RNA, 586 nt
Filed under: Aspergillus fumigatus
Lineage: Eukaryota; Fungi; Ascomycota; Eurotiomycetes; Eurotiales; Aspergillaceae
Description: eukaryotic LSU rRNA
Rfam family: 5.8S ribosomal RNA (bases 203-356)
Source: RNAcentral
CUGCGGAAGGAUCAUUACCGAGUGAGGGCCCUCUGGGUCCAACCUCCCACCCGUGUCUAUCGUACCUUGUUGCUUCGGCGGGCCCGCCGUUUCGACGGCCGCCGGGGAGGCCUUGCGCCCCCGGGCCCGCGCCCGCCGAAGACCCCAACAUGAACGCUGUUCUGAAAGUAUGCAGUCUGAGUUGAUUAUCGUAAUCAGUUAAAACUUUCAACAACGGAUCUCUUGGUUCCGGCAUCGAUGAAGAACGCAGCGAAAUGCGAUAAGUAAUGUGAAUUGCAGAAUUCAGUGAAUCAUCGAGUCUUUGAACGCACAUUGCGCCCCCUGGUAUUCCGGGGGGCAUGCCUGUCCGAGCGUCAUUGCUGCCCUCAAGCACGGCUUGUGUGUUGGGCCCCCGUCCCCCUCUCCCGGGGGACGGGCCCGAAAGGCAGCGGCGGCACCGCGUCCGGUCCUCGAGCGUAUGGGGCUUUGUCACCUGCUCUGUAGGCCCGGCCGGCGCCAGCCGACACCCAACUUUAUUUUUCUAAGGUUGACCUCGGAUCAGGUAGGGAUACCCGCUGAACUUAAGCAUAUCAAUAAGCCCGGAGGA